GGAUUAGUAGUUCAAUUGAUUAGAACUCAACACUGAUAAGGUUGAAAUAUAGGUUUAAAUCCUAUCUAAUCCA
Molecule: transfer RNA, 73 nt
Filed under: Crassvirales sp.
Lineage: Duplodnaviria; Heunggongvirae; Uroviricota; Caudoviricetes; Crassvirales
Description: tRNA-Ile
Rfam family: tRNA
About the family: Transfer RNA (tRNA) molecules are approximately 80 nucleotides in length.
Source: RNAcentral